AAUCAACGCUGGCGGCGUGCCUAACACAUGCAAGUCGAACGAGAAAGUGGAGCAAUCCAUGAGUAAAGUGGCGACCGGGUGAGUAACACGUGACUAACCUACCCUCGAGUGGGGAAUAACCUCGGGAAACCGAGGCUAAUACCGCAUAACAUCGCAAGAUCAAAGCAGAAAUGCGCUUGAGGAGGGGGUCGGCGGCGUGA
RNAcentral lists this ribosomal RNA (200 nucleotides) under uncultured bacterium. RNAcentral describes it as "partial 16S ribosomal RNA". It matches the Rfam family "Bacterial small subunit ribosomal RNA", at positions 32 to 241 of the family's 1533-position model. The record is from RNAcentral.